RNAcentral lists this ribosomal RNA (524 nucleotides) under uncultured Enterobacter sp. RNAcentral's name for it is "bacterial SSU rRNA". It matches the Rfam family "Bacterial small subunit ribosomal RNA", at positions 505 to 1028 of the family's 1533-position model. The record is from RNAcentral. Lineage: Bacteria; Pseudomonadati; Pseudomonadota; Gammaproteobacteria; Enterobacterales; Enterobacteriaceae.
GUGCCAGCAGCUGCGGUAAUACGGAGGGUGCAAGCGUUAAUCGGAAUUACUGGGCGUAAAGCGCACGCAGGCGGUCUGUCAAGUCGGAUGUGAAAUCCCCGGGCUCAACCUGGGAACUGCAUUCGAAACUGGCAGGCUAGAGUCUUGUAGAGGGGGGUAGAAUUCCAGGUGUAGCGGUGAAAUGCGUAGAGAUCUGGAGGAAUACCGGUGGCGAAGGCGGCCCCCUGGACAAAGACUGACGCUCAGGUGCGAAAGCGUGGGGAGCAAACAGGAUUAGAUACCCUGGUAGUCCACGCCGUAAACGAUGUCGACUUGGAGGUUGUGCCCUUGAGGCGUGGCUUCCGGAGCUAACGCGUUAAGUCGACCGCCUGGGGAGUACGGCCGCAAGGUUAAACUCAAAUGAAUUGACGGGGGCCCGCACAAGCGGUGGAGCAUGUGGUUUAAUUCGAUGCAACGCGAAGAACCUUACCUACUCUUGACAUCCAGAGAACUUAGCAGAGAUGCUUUGGUGCCGUUCGGGAACU